Non-coding RNA from Oryza sativa Japonica Group (Japanese rice), 3733 nucleotides. The record is from RefSeq and is a predicted model, not a curated record. Lineage: Eukaryota; Viridiplantae; Streptophyta; Magnoliopsida; Poales; Poaceae.
AGGAAAACCCCAUCCUCUUCCUUCCUCCGUGCGGCGCCGCCCCCCGCCACUGAUCCCGCGGCCGGCGAUCGAUCUGGACUGGCGGCCGGUCCCUCUAUGGAUUUAGUUCGCCGGAGCGCCGCCGCGUCCUCCAGGAAAUGCUCGUCGUUCUCCCUCCUCCUCAUCGAGAAAGUUCCAGUGACUCAUCCAUGAACGGUGGCAUUACGGAUCUCUAGGUCGGGUCGGGUGGCUGUUCUGCAUACCAUGAUGUGUGGAGAAAUGCGGCAGGAACGACAAAUCGCUGUAAGAAACUAACCUCUUGACUCUUGAGCACAUGAUUGUUCAUUGUAUGCAUCCAAGGCUUUGCCUUGUACAUUGCAUGAUAGCAGUCACAAAGAUAACUUAGUCGAAAAACAGAUGCAAUGAGUUAAAUUACACAAUGAAGUGAGCAGCGACCUCAGAUUAAACCUGUCAAGUGCCAACUGCUGGGUUGCAAGUUAUUUGAACAUCUUAUGGCAUACUCAAGUAUAGUCAAACCUAACUUGCAUGAAACCAAACGUGGCAUCACAGUAGCUAUUUCUAUGACGCACAAGUCUCAAACAUCUUUGAGCCGUAGUAAAUGUUUCCCUAGAUUUGUGGCCUAGGGUGGCCCAGAGAUGAAACAAAAGGCUUAGGGGGCAUGGCUAAACUCUGCAAGCUUCCUGUUAGCAUGUUGACCACCUUUUUCAUAGAUGGGUGAUUCUUGGGGUUCCACUGUAUGCACCAUAACGCCACAAUGGCCAGUUUUAUUGCGUCUAUUCCCUGGUUGCUUCCAGUUCUUGCCCAGUGAUUAUUUUCUCAAAUAUCCACUGCGGAAUAUAAACCUCAUUUUGAUUCCCGGACCAACACGCAGCAAGGAGAAGCCACCCGGCUUUGGUUUAUAAUCAUCUGGUUGUUCCCCAUCGUCUCCUCAGUCCCCUUCUUCGAUGCUGUCAUUUUUCGCCGGCGCCGUCAUAGUCAUCCAUCCGGUGAUGAAAUUAGCCACCACUUGAAAUUAGCACAGUCCCCUGUUCCAGCAGGCCAGCCCGUUUCCUGUGCCACAACAGGAUCACUCUCCGUCUCCGCCUUCUUCAGGUACAUAUAUUCUGAAACUCAUAAAGCCUGUCGGAAUUCAUAACCAGUGCUUUAUUAUUUGUAAUGCUGAAAUUCUUUUUUUGCUAGAUGUAGUCUGUUACAUGCAACUGAGAGAUUUAUAUGAAGCCAUGAAAUUAGUAAGAACAGAUUCUUCUUGAGCUUGGUGAGCUCUCAUAGAGUUGUAGAUACCAUAUGAGAAUAAAAUUGUAAAACUUAAUGCCUCCAUGUUUUGUAAUUAAACACUAUAAACUACUGAAAUUUGACCUAUGUGAAGUAACACACGGAGUGAAACCAUUUCCAAGGGAUGAAUUAUAUACUUUACUGUCCUUGCACACUACUUUCCUUAUUUCCUAGUACAACAUAUCGCGCAUGAUGAUUUUCGGGCCCAGUUUCCCUUAUAAACUGGGUCAUUGUCUCUUGUUUGUACAAUUUCUCCCUCUCUUAAUAUAAAACCAGCAAUGCUGGCUUAGGUUUCAAAAAAAAAAAGUUGUGAACAAAUUAACCAUAUGCACAUGAAUAACAAUCAUUUGCACUUUAUACUCUAAACCAACCAAGUUGCACUUCAUCUUAGCAAAUUAUAACUAAGAAGUAAGAUGCCAAUAAUAUCACUAGGCAUACCUGUGAACCAAAUAGUGGACUACACUCAUCGUGCAGGUGCAGGAAGCGCAAUGCCUCGGCAAUAACCAAUGGUGAUCUGUUCUUCAGCUUUGUUAUCCAAUCCGACAAGUGCAAACCCUCCUCAGAAUCCACUGAUUUUUUGUGCAAUGCGGAAGUAAUGUGAUGCACAUAAAGAAGAGUUAAUUAGUUCGAUCCAUUCAGGAAUAUCCAAAUAACUCAAUUUCUUACAGAACAUAAAAAGCAGCAGCACUCACAAUUUGUCUUACAUCCCUAAAAUGUACUGAAAGCUAGAUCCAUGAAAUGAAAUGAAGCAGACAAGCCAGUCACAUGGAACGGAUCUUCUUAAUUAGACCUGUCUGAGAACAAAUAGUCAUUGAUCAACACAUGUACUGCACAUCAUGUGAAAGGGAAAUUUGGCUGUGUAUAUCCUUGUGGAUAUAGAGGCCGGAUUAAUGAAAAUCCAUUAUCUAAAAAAAUGUGAAAGGGAAAUGGAAAGGGAUGGAAGAGAUUAAUUUGGAUGAACAUCACCAGAUGAGGAAGACGCUGGAGCAGCAACCUCCUCUCCGUCGGAAAGUCCGAAUCGAGUAUAAAGCUUCAGAAUUUCAUUAGUAGCUUGUUAACGUUGCUGCUGAAAUUUGUGGGUACUCAAAUAGUGUAUGUAAUGUACCUGCAGUUCUCCCGCUACAGGAUGGAUAUGAAAUAUUAUGGCGGGAGCAUAGAGUUUAAAUGCAUCCUUAAUAAUUAAGCUUCUCUUCUGACACAAACACGUCUCAUGCCAAAAUGGAAGACAGAGGCACGGCAAAAACUGCAAUUCAAGCCGUAGAGAAAAGGUAUACAAAUGGUGAAUCUGUGAAACCAUGUGUGGUUAUAGUUCUUUUGUGAUGGGAAAUUGAUAAGUACCGGAAGUGCAAGAAGUGUGUGCGUGAACUAACAUUGGUCUGAUUGCGACAUCUGUGCCAAGACAACGGUUGUUUGGUUCAUGUGUGUGCAGGUGAUCGGGGUCGAUCUUGGUCAACGGCGGAUCGGGACUAGACUUAGGGAGGAGUUAAGGUCCAAAGUGAUCGAGGAUGCCGGGUGACAAGAUUGGAUAUAAGGUUGCACACGGUGGACGGACACCGUGUGAGGAGGUUUUUGCAACGGACUUCGCAAGGUCAAGUGCAAGCGCCGUGUGUCGCGAAGAAAAUUGGAAGAGACAAAGACGUGCAGCAUGCAUGUGUGUCAUGAUCACAUACAUGGAUCGGUGGUGCAGCCAAGGCAUGCAUGCACUAGGGACAGUGCAUGGCCAUGCACACGGCAAGCUGGAGCUGUGUGUGUGCACGUGGCCAAGUGCCAUUCACGGCUUGGAGGGCCAGGCCGAGGAGGCCCAAGACAUGACGGCCCAACACGGCGUGCGCGGGUGUGGAACUCACGUGUUUUCGGCGACGCGGAAGGAAGCGACUCGCGCGGGAAUUUGGAUGGAGCGCGCGGGAAGCAGAGCGCGCGGUGCGCACUGAAGGACGGCGACGUGGCGGCUUCGGACUGGGCACGCGGACGAGCGCGCGGGCUCGCGUGCGUGGGAUUUCGACGGACAACGUGGCAAGCUCGGAUUUGUCAAGAGGAGAAGGCACGGAUUGAUACCUUCGGAUCAGUGUGGAGACUUCGGAUCGAUGACGUGGAUUUCAUCUGGAGGAUUUCCUUUGAGGAGAAGUAAGAACAAAUGGCUGGGAUUUCAUCUAGGCUAGGGCAUCACCCUAAGGGCAUUUGAGACAAUGUCUUGGGGGUCUUAGACUAUAAAUAGAGAGAUGGAUGCAAGGGUGGAGGUUGCUCCUUUUGGUAAUCCUUUUGAGAUGUUCAGUGAGAGAGUUUCCGUGUGAGUUUGGAGUGUGUUUGCCCGAGAGGCUUUUGUAUUAGGAUUAGUUUGGAGUGUGUUUGUCCGAGAGAUUUUAAGUUUGUGUUAAUGUUUCUCUGAAGGUGUAUGUCUGCUCCUAGUUGAGCGGUUAUUUUGCAUCACCUAUGAAUGAAAUGAUUUGAAGGAUUUCGUUUU